Molecule: ribosomal RNA, 755 nt
Filed under: Staphylococcus aureus
Lineage: Bacteria; Bacillati; Bacillota; Bacilli; Caryophanales; Staphylococcaceae
Description: bacterial SSU rRNA
Rfam family: Bacterial small subunit ribosomal RNA
Source: RNAcentral
CGGUCUUGCUGUCACUUAUAGAUGGAUCCGCGCUGCAUUAGCUAGUUGGUAAGGUAACGGCUUACCAAGGCAACGAUGCAUAGCCGACCUGAGAGGGUGAUCGGCCACACUGGAACUGAGACACGGUCCAGACUCCUACGGGAGGCAGCAGUAGGGAAUCUUCCGCAAUGGGCGAAAGCCUGACGGAGCAACGCCGCGUGAGUGAUGAAGGUCUUCGGAUCGUAAAACUCUGUUAUUAGGGAAGAACAUAUGUGUAAGUAACUGUGCACAUCUUGACGGUACCUAAUCAGAAAGCCACGGCUAACUACGUGCCAGCAGCCGCGGUAAUACGUAGGUGGCAAGCGUUAUCCGGAAUUAUUGGGCGUAAAGCGCGCGUAGGCGGUUUUUUAAGUCUGAUGUGAAAGCCCACGGCUCAACCGUGGAGGGUCAUUGGAAACUGGAAAACUUGAGUGCAGAAGAGGAAAGUGGAAUUCCAUGUGUAGCGGUGAAAUGCGCAGAGAUAUGGAGGAACACCAGUGGCGAAGGCGACUUUCUGGUCUGUAACUGACGCUGAUGUGCGAAAGCGUGGGGAUCAAACAGGAUUAGAUACCCUGGUAGUCCACGCCGUAAACGAUGAGUGCUAAGUGUUAGGGGGUUUCCGCCCCUUAGUGCUGCAGCUAACGCAUUAAGCACUCCGCCUGGGGAGUACGACCGCAAGGUUGAAACUCAAAGGAAUUGACGGGGACCCGCACAAGCGGUGGAGCAUGUGGUUUAAU